This 774-nucleotide ribosomal RNA is filed under the name uncultured Neocallimastigales. RNAcentral's name for it is "partial large subunit ribosomal RNA". It matches the Rfam family "Eukaryotic large subunit ribosomal RNA", at positions 20 to 616 of the family's 3401-position model. Lineage: Eukaryota; Fungi; Neocallimastigomycota; Neocallimastigomycetes; Neocallimastigales. The record is from RNAcentral.
UACUAGAGUAGCACUCGCAUAUCAAUAAGCGGAGGAAAAGAAACUAACAAGGAUUCCCCUAGUAACGGCGAGUGAAGCGGGAAGAGCUCAAAUUUGAAAUCUUAAAGGGUUUCCCUCUACGAAUUGUAGUUUAAAGAAGUGUUUUCUGUUGAGGUUUUGGUAAAAGUUCUUUGGAAUAGGACAUCAUAGAGGGUGAGAAUCCCGUAUUUGACCUUUACUUUCAACUUUGUGAUACACUUUCAAAGAGUCGGAUUGUUUGGGAAUGCAGUCCAAAAUGGGUGGUAAAUUUCAUCUAAAGCUAAAUAUUGGCGAGAGACCGAUAGCGAACAAGUACCGUGAGGGAAAGAUGAAAAGAACUUUGAAAAGAGAGUUAAACAGUACGUGAAAUUGUCGAAAGGGAAGCGUUUGACACCAGUGUUGUUUUUCUGAAAAUCAAUUAAAGAACUGUUUAUGCUAAGCUGUUUAGACUUUAUCAGCUAUCUGUUUAGUUUUGAGCUUUUCUUUAAUGCACUUUUCAGUUAACAAGUCAACAUCAAUUUCUUUUGCUGUAAAAAAGCUUGAGGAAGGUGGCUUGAGAUUCGUCUUAAGUGUUUAUAGCCUCUUGCCUAUGCAGUCGGAGAGAUUGAGGUCUGCAGCGUAGAUCCUUCGGGGCUAAAUGCAUUUGUGCUAAGUUAUAGCAUUUUAUAGACAACUUGUUGACUAUGAUUUGUCUUGUAGCUUACUCGCUUAUGUUAUUUUACCUACGCUUAGGAUGUUGAGCGCAUGUCUCUCUCU